AGAGGUGUAGGUCAGUAGUAGAGCACUUGCCUAGCAUGUGCAAGGCUCUGGGUUCCAUUCCCAGCACCACAA
Molecule: transfer RNA, 72 nt
Filed under: Heterocephalus glaber (naked mole-rat)
Lineage: Eukaryota; Metazoa; Chordata; Mammalia; Rodentia; Bathyergidae
Rfam family: tRNA
About the family: Transfer RNA (tRNA) molecules are approximately 80 nucleotides in length.
Source: Rfam by way of RNAcentral